This 1356-nucleotide ribosomal RNA is filed under the name Lactococcus lactis subsp. lactis. Its description in RNAcentral is "16S ribosomal RNA". It matches the Rfam family "Bacterial small subunit ribosomal RNA", at positions 90 to 1438 of the family's 1533-position model. Lineage: Bacteria; Bacillati; Bacillota; Bacilli; Lactobacillales; Streptococcaceae. The record is from RNAcentral.
GAUGAGCAGCGAACGGGUGAGUAACGCGUGGGGAAUCUGCCUUUGAGCGGGGGACAACAUUUGGAAACGAAUGCUAAUACCGCAUAAAAACUUUAAACACAAGUUUUAAGUUUGAAAGAUGCAAUUGCAUCACUCAAAGAUGAUCCCGCGUUGUAUUAGCUAGUUGGUGAGGUAAAGGCUCACCAAGGCGAUGAUACAUAGCCGACCUGAGAGGGUGAUCGGCCACAUUGGGACUGAGACACGGCCCAAACUCCUACGGGAGGCAGCAGUAGGGAAUCUUCGGCAAUGGACGAAAGUCUGACCGAGCAACGCCGCGUGAGUGAAGAAGGUUUUCGGAUCGUAAAACUCUGUUGGUAGAGAAGAACGUUGGUGAGAGUGGAAAGCUCAUCAAGUGACGGUAACUACCCAGAAAGGGACGGCUAACUACGUGCCAGCAGCCGCGGUAAUACGUAGGUCCCGAGCGUUGUCCGGAUUUAUUGGGCGUAAAGCGAGCGCAGGUGGUUUAUUAAGUCUGGUGUAAAAGGCAGUGGCUCAACCAUUGUAUGCAUUGGAAACUGGUAGACUUGAGUGCAGGAGAGGAGAGUGGAAUUCCAUGUGUAGCGGUGAAAUGCGUAGAUAUAUGGAGGAACACCGGUGGCGAAAGCGGCUCUCUGGCCUGUAACUGACACUGAGGCUCGAAAGCGUGGGGAGCAAACAGGAUUAGAUACCCUGGUAGUCCACGCCGUAAACGAUGAGUGCUAGAUGUAGGGAGCUAUAAGUUCUCUGUAUCGCAGCUAACGCAAUAAGCACUCCGCCUGGGGAGUACGACCGCAAGGUUGAAACUCAAAGGAAUUGACGGGGCCCGCACAAGCGUGGAGCAUGUGGUUUAAUUCGAAGCAACGCGAAGAACCUUACCAGGUCUGACAUACUCGUGCUAUUCCUAGAGAUAGGAAGUUCCUUCGGGACACCGGGAUACAGGUGGUGCAUGGUUGUCGUCAGCUCGUGUCGUGAGAUGUUGGGUUAAGUCCCGCAACGAGCGCAACCCCUAUUGUUAGUUGCCAUCAUUAAGUUGGGCACUCUAACGAGACUGCCGGUGAUAAACCGGAGGAAGGUGGGGAUGACGUCAAAUCAUCAUGCCCCUUAUGACCUGGGCUACACACGUGCUACAAUGGAUGGUACAACGAGUCGCGAGACAGUGAUGUUUAGCUAAUCUCUUAAAACCAUUCUCAGUUCGGAUUGUAGGCUGCAACUCGCCUACAUGAAGUCGGAAUCGCUAGUAAUCGCGGAUCAGCACGCCGCGGUGAAUACGUUCCCGGGCCUUGUACACACCGCCCGUCACACCACGGGAGUUGGGAGUACCCGAAGUAGGUUGCCUAA